UUGGGAGCACCUGAAAAUAAAGGUCUUUCUUCAUCCACAGAAGUGGUGCAGUGUGGGGAACAGUAGUGCAAGUUUCCCCACACACUGCCUCACUAAUGUGUUUCAGUACUAUUCUGAAGGCUCUGCCCUAAGGGGAGAGAUGAUAGGUUGGUCCCCUUCAGUCCUUGGCCUCC
RNAcentral lists this small RNA (173 nucleotides) under Chrysemys picta bellii (western painted turtle). RNAcentral describes it as "TUC338 (ENSCPBG00000019871.1)". Lineage: Eukaryota; Metazoa; Chordata; Testudines; Emydidae. The record is from RNAcentral.